This 301-nucleotide ribosomal RNA is filed under the name uncultured bacterium. Its description in RNAcentral is "partial 16S ribosomal RNA". It matches the Rfam family "Bacterial small subunit ribosomal RNA", at positions 509 to 807 of the family's 1533-position model. The record is from RNAcentral.
CAGUAGCCGCGGUAAUACGUAGGGUGCGAGCGUUAAUCGGAUUUACUGGGCGUAAAGCGUGCGCAGGCGGCCCGUUAAGACAGGUGUGAAAUCCCUGGGCUCAACCUAGGAACUGCGCUUGUGACUGGCGGGCUCGAGUACGGUAGAGGGGGGUGGAAUUCCUGGUGUAGCAGUGAAAUGCGUAGAGAUCAGGGGGAACACCGAUGGCGAAGGCAGCCCCCUGGGCCUGUACUGACGCUCAUGCACGAAAGCGUGGGGAGCAAACAGGAUUAGAUACCCCAGUAGUCCCUGUCUCUUAUAC